This 253-nucleotide ribosomal RNA is filed under the name uncultured bacterium. Its description in RNAcentral is "partial 16S ribosomal RNA". It matches the Rfam family "Bacterial small subunit ribosomal RNA", at positions 524 to 776 of the family's 1533-position model. The record is from RNAcentral.
UACGUAGGGUGCGAGCGUUGUCCGGAAUUACUGGGCGUAAAGAGCUCGUAGGUGGUUUGUCGCGUUGUUCGUGAAAACUCACAGCUUAACUGUGGGCGUGCGGGCGAUACGGGCAGACUGGAGUACUGCAGGGGAGACUGGAAUUCCUGGUGUAGCGGUGGAAUGCGCAGAUAUCAGGAGGAACACCUGAGGUGAAGACGGGUUGCUGGGCUGACACUGACGCUGAGGCGCGAAAGCCAGGGGAGCAAACGGG